GAACACAGGCUGUUAUUCUGUCCCUUGUCAUCAGUGUCACGGGCAGACACGAGCCAACCACACCGCUCAGGACUGGCACCACAGGAACAGGCUCCUGCGUGCUGGGGGACCCUCCUCUCCAUCGUACGGAUCAAUGAAAGAGCAGGCUUUACCAGGGGUUUGAAUUAAAUCCAUCCAAACGAAGACUUGAUAUUCAAGGCUGCCCCUCAGGAAAGAGGGGUUUUGCAUUCAUUAAUAUUGCCUUGGGAUGAAGGAAGGAGCAGGGGAGCCCUGAUUGACCUUGGACAUUUAUAAAGGUUUAAACAAAUAGACCCAAUCCAGCACAGACCUGGCCCAGCGACUGCGCUCCUUAAAGUGCCGUGAAACGCAGGCUUGGAGAAACCUGUGACCUGACCUGCGAACUCAGGGAGGAACCACAGGUGAUGUCGUACACAGUCUGUUUACAACCUCGGGGCUAGUGAAAAUGAAACCGAACUAGGAGAACGCAGCCCAUUGACCAGACCCAGACCUGCCAACGCUGCCUCCUUUAAUCUGCUAACUAAACAAUACGACACAUGGCAGCACAACGGUGAGGAUGUGGUUUCACAGCCUGCUGAGAAUGCCCAUCUUUGGUUAAAAAGAAAAAGGAAUAUUUUAUCUGAUUUACAUAUUGCACAUUAAAUAAGCCCUGCAAGGUACCAUGCUUCAAAACAGACUUAUUUUUUAAGAAAUGUAGAUUAAUAAUCCUCCUUGCUUAAAAAAUGAGCUUCAAUAUUUGUGCGAAUCGUAGAGUGAAAAAAAUCAAUGUGCUAUCGACUGCUGGGGAUGAUCACAUUCAUUCUGCCCUUUGUGGUUGGUGAAAUCCAUGCUGCAAUUACAGAGACAGGCUGGCAGCAAAGAGCCUCAGUUGGGCUUUCAGCUCCACAUUAAUCCAAAACUCACCAUUUUAAUGCAGAUAUAGAUUGCCACGAGUCAAUAGCUGACUCCUUGAAUUGUGAAGUAGCAGCUCCAUGCUGUAUUGGCAGCACUGGCUGUUACAGUAUCUUCCAGUAUUUUGAAAUUUCCAAGUGUUACUCCACGAAGCGAGGAGCGUAACCCACUCCACGUCGGAAGGGACUGCAGCGUUCGUGCUAUUGCCAUAAACGGGACACACUGGAUUACAGACAGAAUACUGCGAAUAACCUUGCAGUAGAUCAAAAGUAGACUUUUCAUGGGAUAAAAUGCUUAUGUACCUUAGCUCAUGUUUUAAUGCCCUAAUGCAUUAUCUCAUAAAGUAACCCAAGUGUUGAAUUUUUAUAAUAGAGCUCCCAAUUCUCUCCCGCUUUCACUGUUCCAUGACUUCACCCCAUUCAGAACUAUCAUUCUGCAUUUAUAACGUGGCAAGUGAGGUCAGAACUACGCUUUGACUUGCAAUUUCCUGGUCAGCAAUCCAUCUGGAACUAAGAACUGAAUUCUGCCACUAAAUUUGGGUGAAGAGUUGGGGCAUCUACUAGGCGGUCAGCACCUCUUUUAGGUGCAGUGUGAACCUGGAACUCUAUUUGAUGCACAGUAACUAUAUUCUUGUAUACCUCCAUGACACUGAGCUCUUUGUACCCCGUUCUCACGGUGACGUGCACUAACAGGUCCACACGCAGUGUUACAGCUGUCACUUGUGCUGUGCCACGCAGACCCAACCCCAAACCUACUGUGCUCUGUGGAAAUGCUGCCAUUGACUUUCCUGCACUAUGCACGUGUGACUGCACACACCUUCACAGCACAGGCGAACACCCAACAGCCGUGCUGUGCUGCGCUGUGCCAUGCUGUGCCGUGCCGUGCCAUGCCUUGCCAUGCUGUGUCAUGCCGUGCUGUGCCAUGCCGCAUGCCGUGCCAUGCUGUGACAUGCUGUG
This is a long non-coding RNA of Columba livia (rock pigeon), 1865 nucleotides long. RefSeq lists it as uncharacterized. NCBI's taxonomy places the organism in Eukaryota, Metazoa, Chordata, Aves, Columbiformes, Columbidae. The transcript is spliced from 4 exons. The record is from RefSeq and is a predicted model, not a curated record.